RNAcentral lists this ribosomal RNA (296 nucleotides) under uncultured bacterium. RNAcentral describes it as "partial 16S ribosomal RNA". It matches the Rfam family "Bacterial small subunit ribosomal RNA", at positions 28 to 334 of the family's 1533-position model. The record is from RNAcentral.
GGUGAACGCUAGCGGUGCGCCUAACACAUGCAAGUCGAGCGGUAGAAACUUUUAGCUUGCUAAAAGUUUUGAGAGCGGCGAACGGGUGAGUAACACGUUGGAAUCUGCCCCCAAGUCAGGGAUAGCCAUUCGAAAGGAUGAUUAAUACCGGAUAGUCUCUACGGAGUAAAAAUUUAUUGCUUGGGGAGGAGCCUGCGUUCUAUCAGCUUGUUGGUGAGGUAAAAGCUCACCAAGGCUAUGACGGAUAGCUGGUCUGAGAGGAUGAUCAGCCACAAUGGAACUGAGACACGGUCCAU